CAUUUUGCCAAUCAUGAUAAGUUUUGGACCAAAAUAUGUUAAAACCAUUAAGCUGUGAAAAAAUCGCAUAUACAUUAUAAACAAUCCAAGGCUGUAGAGUCUGAUUUCAAUGCGCUGGCCACCAUUGAAUUUACCAACUAAUACUGCGGAUACAAGUACAGCGUAAGAAAAUAAUGCUAAAACAUUCCAAAAGUUCGUCAGAUAACAAUACAAUCGAAACCUUUUACGCGAUUGAUCGUGAGAUAUAUUUCUUUGUACCGUUAUCACUAUGUUUCUC
This 277-nucleotide long non-coding RNA is filed under the name Mytilus galloprovincialis (Mediterranean mussel). The record is from RNAcentral. Lineage: Eukaryota; Metazoa; Mollusca; Bivalvia; Mytilida; Mytilidae.